RNAcentral lists this small nuclear RNA (158 nucleotides) under Marmota marmota marmota (Alpine marmot). Its description in RNAcentral is "U1 spliceosomal RNA (ENSMMMG00000021369.1)". It matches the Rfam family "U1 spliceosomal RNA". Rfam says of the family: U1 is a small nuclear RNA (snRNA) component of the spliceosome (involved in pre-mRNA splicing). Its 5' end forms complementary base pairs with the 5' splice junction, thus defining the 5' donor site of an intron. The record is from RNAcentral. Lineage: Eukaryota; Metazoa; Chordata; Mammalia; Rodentia; Sciuridae.
AUACUUACCUGGAAGAAAAAAUUCUCUGAUCAUGAAAGUGACUUUCCCAGAGUGAGUCUCAUCCAUUGCUCUCCAAUGUACUGAACCAUGCAGUUUCUCCAAAUGUGGGAAUUUCUGCAUCAUUUGUGGUACUGGGGGACUGUGCACACUCUACCCUG